UUCUUAAUUUUUCUUUUCUAUUUCUCUCUCUUUUUAGUUUAUUUUUGUUUAAAUUUCUUAUCUAGUGCAGUGCUACUAAGGUAUUCUUCUUUCUGUUUGCAUGCAAGGUCAAGACAAUCAUGCAAGAUGAUGUUUAUGCUACCUUUUCAAAGUUUAAAGCUUAUGCAAAGGAACUUGCAUAAAAAAUGCUCAUUCUGGAAAAUGC
RNAcentral lists this long non-coding RNA (205 nucleotides) under Lathyrus oleraceus (garden pea). Its description in RNAcentral is "Pisum sativum (pea) long non-coding RNA (PSAT_LNC034097)". Lineage: Eukaryota; Viridiplantae; Streptophyta; Magnoliopsida; Fabales; Fabaceae. The record is from RNAcentral.